GCCUGGGUGACAGAGCGAGACUUCGUCUCAAAAAAAAAGAAGAAGAAAGAAGGAAGCUGAGGUUCAGACAGGCUAAGUCCCUACUGCAGGCUGCGGAAUCUAAAAAGGUCAUGAACUCUGAGAGUUUGAGAUGAGCCUCUAAAAGCUGUAUCAAUAGCACCUUGCACUGUUGAAGCAGGCCAUGAACUCUGAGAAUUUGGGCUGCAUUUUUAAAGCUGUAUCACUGGCAGUUUGUACUCAAAAAGCAGAUAGUGUCUUGCAAUGUCGCCCAGGCUGGAGUGCAGUG
RNAcentral lists this long non-coding RNA (286 nucleotides) under Homo sapiens (human). RNAcentral describes it as "HSALNT0398925". The record is from RNAcentral. Lineage: Eukaryota; Metazoa; Chordata; Mammalia; Primates; Hominidae.